Long non-coding RNA from Chiloscyllium plagiosum (whitespotted bambooshark), 1831 nucleotides. RefSeq lists it as uncharacterized. Lineage: Eukaryota; Metazoa; Chordata; Chondrichthyes; Orectolobiformes; Hemiscylliidae. The record is from RefSeq and is a predicted model, not a curated record.
CUUUUGGACUAUAACUUGGUGUUGUGUGACUUUUGAAUUUGAAAAUGAAAUAUUUAAGGGCAUUUACUGGGUAUGCUCUCUCCCUGGAUUCCCUUCCUCUCCCUUCAGUUGCUGCAAAUGAACACUUUCUCUCCCUCCCAGGGUGAGAAAAGAAAUGGAAGGGGGUGGGUAGAGACAUUUCUUUGCUCCCAGAUGUUGCACUGAAGCUCACUCUGAAGACAACACCCCUAUUGUGAGGUCACAAUGGAAAGGUGCGGCUCGCCUGAAGCAGCUAAUGCCAACCGCUGUACUCGGCACCGACGUUGGGUGCGCGCGGACACGGGAGCUCCUCCCCCACCCCGCAACCAUGGUUUCCAGGGCAACCAGCUGGGGCUCGGACCAGCGCAAGAAAAAGCUGCCCCUCCCCCUUUCUCCAGCGGUGAUGCUCUGGACACCGGGCCCACACUGCGCCUGCUCUGGAUAGCUGCAGAUAAAGGGGGUGGGGAGGCUGGAUGGUGAAGUUGGUAGGUCGGUGGGGACUAUGAUCUGAUUGGUUGAUGACAGUGAUGAAUCCGGUAGGUGGAUGAGGGGGCUCGCACUGCGCUUGCUCCGGACAGCGGGUCCGCGCUGUGCUAGUGCUGCCCCCAAGCGGAGGGGAUUGUGUGAGAGGAAAACAUCAGGUUCUGUAACAGCCCAGGAACUUGUGAAUUUUCUUCAUUUCGAAGAACAGGACCAAGUGCUAAACGAGUCAUUUGAUGAAACAGAGGAUUUUGGCUUCUUUGAUUGUGAUUGAACUACCUUCGGGGAAUUGAGAGGGGGAAGACAUUUCCACAGAAAUUAGGACUACAUUGUCAAAUGAAAGCAUGAAGUCAAGCGAAUUGAAAAAAAGAAUCAGAUACCUCACAUCUAGAUUAAAAGGAUAAACCCUGAGAUAGCUUCAAAAACCUUGGAAAUAAUUUCGACAGAAGGCCAACGAAUGAAACAAAUGCUUACUCAAACAUCAGAGAUUAGAGAAGGGUCUUGUUACACAUGCAAAAUUGGUAAACUGAAUGCUAAAACUGGAAAUGCUUGCCACAUUGGUGAAUCACUUACCCUACCUUCAGUGUUCAUAAUAAUAUGAGGUCAUGAAUUCCAGUGCCAAAGAAGCAAUUCAGGCAAUUCCUUUGAGUAGUUCUACUGUUCCUAGAAGAAUCAAUGAGAUGGUACAGGACAUUGAAGAGGGAUUGAUCAAUCCAAGAAAUUCUCUUUACAAUUACACAAAACCAGUUUACAACAUCAUAACGCUAUUCUCAUGGUUUAUGUGAUCUUCUGGAACAGAAACAAACUAAGGGAAGAGAUGUUGUUUGCCAGGAGGAUUAAAACAAAUACUGAGGAACAGUCUAUUUUUGAAGAAGUCAAACGUUACUUAAGCAAGAACAAUAUCCCAGUGAAGAAUAUAAUUGUGCAACUGAUGGUGCCACUUCUAUGUUAGUCAAUACAGAGGAUUCAUCUAUCUAAAAAGAGUUACACCUUCUGUCUUUGCUAUUCAUCGAAUCAUUCACAGGGAGCACGUAAUAGCUAAAAGCUUAGGAGGACGUCACAAUCUUUCGCUUUCAGUUGUCAUAAAGGCUGUAAACUUCUUCAAAUCCCAUGCCCUUCAGGAUUGUCUUUUUGGUAGCUGUGUGAAGAAAAUGAAAACAACUUCUGGAUACUGCAGCUGCGUACCAAGGCAAGGUGGCUUUCCAAGGAAACUGUCUUCAACAUUUUGUUACACUCUGGGACAUCAUAGUUUCAAUCAUGAUGCUCUCCACCGCAUCUCCUCCACUUCCCGCUCCUCCGCCCUUGAACCCCGUCCCUCCAAUCGCCACCAGGA